RNAcentral lists this ribosomal RNA (253 nucleotides) under uncultured bacterium. RNAcentral describes it as "partial 16S ribosomal RNA". It matches the Rfam family "Bacterial small subunit ribosomal RNA", at positions 524 to 776 of the family's 1533-position model. The record is from RNAcentral.
UACGGAGGGGGCUAGCGUUGUUCGGAAUUACUGGGCGUAAAGCGCGCGUAGGCGGUUCUUCAAGUCAGAGGUGAAAGCCCGGUGCUCAACACCGGAAUUGCCUUUGAAACUAGGGAACUUGAAUCCAGGAGAGGUGAGUGGAAUUCCGAGUGUAGAGGUGAAAUUCGUAGAUAUGGGGAGGAACACCGGUGGCGAAGGCGGCCACCUGGACGGUAACUGACGCUGAGACGCGAAAGCGUGGGGAGCAAACAGG